This 380-nucleotide ribosomal RNA is filed under the name uncultured bacterium. Its description in RNAcentral is "bacterial SSU rRNA". It matches the Rfam family "Bacterial small subunit ribosomal RNA", at positions 29 to 412 of the family's 1533-position model. The record is from RNAcentral.
AUUGAACGCUGGCGGCAUGCUUUACACAUGCAAGUCGAACGGUAACAGGCCUUCGGGUGCUGACGAGUGGCGAACGGGUGAGUAAUGCAUCGGAACGUGCCCAAUCGUGGGGGAUAACGUAGCGAAAGUUACGCUAAUACCGCAUAAGCCCUGAGGGGGAAAGUGGGGGACCGCAAGGCCUCACGCGAAUGGAGCGGCCGAUGUCAGAUUAGCUAGUUGGUGGGGUAAAGGCUCACCAAGGCGACGAUCUGUAGCGGGUCUGAGAGGAUGAUCCGCCACACUGGGACUGAGACACGGCCUAGACUCCUACGGGAGGCAGCAGUGGGGAAUUUUGGACAAUGGGCGCAAGCCUGAUCCAGCCAUGCCGCGUGCGGGACGAA